Molecule: ribosomal RNA, 1362 nt
Filed under: Triticum aestivum (bread wheat)
Lineage: Eukaryota; Viridiplantae; Streptophyta; Magnoliopsida; Poales; Poaceae
Description: partial small subunit ribosomal RNA
Source: RNAcentral
AUGUCUGCGCUGCAUGUUCUCUUCCUCGCGGUCUUGCUGGCCAUGUCGGCGACCGGCCACGCGGCGGCCUUGCGCGCCGAUCUCAGGCACGUCGACAGCGGCCGCGGCUUCACCAAGCGCGAGCUGCUCCGCCGGAUGGCCACCCGGUCGCGGGCUCGUGUAGACAGCCGGUGGUCACCACCGCCCGGCCGCGGCGCCAACGCCCACGCGGUGACCGCGCCGUUGACCCGCGGCACCGUCGGCAAAGAAGAGUUCAACUCUGAUUACGUCAUCCACUUUGCCAUCGGCACGCCACAGCCGCAGCCCGUGGCGCUGGCGCUGGACACGGGUAGCGACUUGGUCUGGACUCAGUGCGAUUGCGACGUCUGCUUCGACCAGCCGUUCCCGGCGCUCAACACCUCCGCCUCCGACACCCUCCGCGGCGUCUCGUGCUACGACCCUCUCUGCACGCGGGGGAGGCUCAAGCUCUCCGGGUGCGCCGCCGGCGACAACUUGUGCUUGUACGUCUACUCCUACGCCGACAAGUCGAUGACGACGGGGCUGAUCUUCGAGGACACCUUCACCUUCAAGGCGCCCAACGGCAAGGUCGCCGCCGUGCCCAACCUCCGCUUUGGUUGUGGCAUGUACAACGCCGGCAAGUUCGGACCAACCGAGUCCGGCGUCGCCGGUUUCGCCCGCGGGCCGCUGUCUCUGCCGUCGCUGCUCAAGCUCCCCAGGUUCUCCCACUGCUUCACCGCCAUGGUGGAGUCCAGGACCAGCCCCAUGUUCCUGGGCACGCCGGACAACCUGGGAGCGCAGGCCACGGGGCCCAUCCAGUCCACCCCGUUCGUCCGGAGCCCCGCGGGCCCGUUCGGCACGCUGUACUACAUUUCGCUCAAAGGCAUCACCGUGGGCAAGACGCGGCUGCCGUUCGACGCGUCGGCGUUCGCGGUCAAGGACGGCGUCUCCGGCGGGACGAUCAUCGACUCUGGCUCGAGCAUCACGAGCUUCCCACGGCCCGUGUUCCGAAGCCUCCGGAAGGCGUUCAUGUCGCAGGUGCCGCUGCCCGUCGCCAACGUCUCCGCCACCGACCCCGAUACGAUGCUGUGCUUCCUCACCUCGCCGAAGAAGGAGGCGCCCGCCAUGCCGAAGCUGAUCCUCCACCUGGAGGGCGCGGACUGGGACCUUCCACGGGAGAACUACGUGGUGGAUGUCGAAGACUUCGAGGACGGUACCGGCGGCGGGCCGUGCGUGGUGAUAAAUUCGGCGGACGAGAGCUCCCCGACGAUCAUAGGCAACUUCCAGCAGCAGAACACGCACAUCGUCUACGACCUGGAGAACAAUAAGCUGGUGUUCGUGCCCGCGCGCUGCGACAAGCUGUGA